Molecule: ribosomal RNA, 286 nt
Filed under: Blastocystis sp. subtype 3
Lineage: Eukaryota; Bigyra; Opalinata; Blastocystidae
Description: partial small subunit ribosomal RNA
Rfam family: Eukaryotic small subunit ribosomal RNA
Source: RNAcentral
GAUUAAGCCAUGCAUGUGUAAGUAUAAAUAGUUAACUUUGAAACUGCGAAUGGCUCAUUAUAUCAGUUAUAGUUUAUUUGAUGAAGAAUACUAAUUGGAUAACCGUAGUAAUUCUAGAGCUAAUACAUGUAUAAAGUCUUGUAGACCGCAUUUAUUAGAAUGAAAACCAUAGGUUUCGGCCUAUUCGUGAGUAAUAAUAACUAAUCAUAUCGUAUGCUUAUGUAACGAUGUGUCUUUCAAGUUUCUGCCCUAUCAGCUUUCGAUGGUAGUGUAUUGGACUACCAUG